RNAcentral lists this long non-coding RNA (2352 nucleotides) under Gallus gallus (chicken). RNAcentral describes it as "lncRNA (ENSGALG00010022952.1)". Lineage: Eukaryota; Metazoa; Chordata; Aves; Galliformes; Phasianidae. The record is from RNAcentral.
CAAAGACCGGAGCUACAGAGCCCAGGCACCCAGCAGGGAAGGCUAAGGAAUCAACAAUGCAAUUAAAAGUCUUCAGCCAGCAAUGGAAAUAUUGAACAGUUGCACUGUUUCAAGUGAAGAGACAAUUGGUAACUCCAUAGACAGAGGGAAAAGCAUUAAGGUCAAUCCAGACAGGAUUUCAAUCAAGAGGAGAAAGCUAUCACUUGGUCAGAGACUUUGAAGGCAUGAAAAUUAAUCUGAGUACUCUGAAGGAGCUAGCCUGCCAAAGGAGGAAAAAUCAGAGCCUUUCAAACCAAAGGACUCAAAGAAAACAUCCUGGAAAGGCUAAAGCAAGGAGAGCGCCACAAGCCACCAGCUCAUUUUAAGUCAGUGAGGUACUGAACUAUUAAGGGGAAAGAAACUGGCAAUAUUGACUGAGAAAACUGGGACAAAGCCUGCAGAGGUUUAAUCCAGUUUGGUGCACAUACCUUUCAGCGUUACAUGAAAGCUUUUAGUUCCCUGGGGGUCUGCAGAGGCUUGUUUCACUUCGUCAAGAAAUGGAGGAUGUCUUCUGGGUAACACCAGCACCCGUCUGGACUGAGAAUACACAUUUCCAUCCCACAGUAAACCUCUGCUUAAGGACUUCCAAUUCUAAGCUUUCCUUUCUAAUCAUUUUCCUCCUGUUCUUCCACAACUUGAGAAUGAUUUGCACUUUUAAAUCACUAGUUUUAGCUCUUGAAGGAGAAUCCAGUAUCACAUACUGUGGCCAUCAUAAUUAUAGUACAUUCCGUGAAAUUCUUCAAAAGUGAUCUUACAGGAACAAAGUGUUAUUGAGUACCUUCAUUCCAAGUUCACUUAGCUGGCAGCCUUAGCAAAUAAGACAGACUGCAUAAGCACUGAUGUCUAUCAGCCUGCUACCAUUCCCUCCCCUUUUGCCCUUUAAUCACAGGAUGGCAUUCAAGAUGAUAAAGAUGUGCACUGACGGAAUGGCAGGACAAGAGCACUGCUGCCCACAGUCUCUCUUUCACAUAAUUCCAGAAAACACAACCUGCCAACACAGCACAGAUCCAGCUAGAGAAUACACUGUUGUCUUCAAAUACAGCUGCAUUUACCAAAGUUUCACAUAGUACAACUAGAAGUCAAAGACAGACCUUGCUUUGAAUUCCUUAAAGUAAUUCUGAAGUUACAACUGGGCUGAAAACACUCAAAUCUUACAUCUUAUGCCCAUAGAUAUGGAACGUACGCUUGAAGAAUAUCUUAUCUUGAAUCUAGCUGUUGUACCUAAGCACAUCUAGAGUUUAUCUGUAGGGCCAGUAAGAAAUCCUGAAAAUGAACCCACAAAAGUAGAGUAACUGGAAAAAAAAUCUUUUCCAACGAGUCCAGUUAUGACAACUCAUUUCUUGGCCAUGCAAGAAAUCCCUCUCUGGGAUACAGCUGACUCCACAAGCAGAGCAGCGAGAAGUUUUUCUUGCCGCCUGACUCACCUUUCCUGUGCUAGCACAAACACCUCUGACAUUACUCAGGAAGUUCCUUAUAAUUAUCUGGAGAUGCAGAUCCACAUGAAUAAUGUAUAUGUUGGGUUGGUUGCAGAACUGAAUGGUAUAUUAAAAAUUCAUUCAGUUCAUGUAAAAAAAAAUAGGAUAUGAAGGUAUUUUUGAAGGUGUUUUAAUGGAAGACAAAUUGAAAAAAAAUACCUUCUUAGGAUAGUCCAUAGCUUUACUCUGAAGGAUUAUUUAUUUGUAAUGGGGACUGGAGAUUUACGAAUAGCCUAACUGAAAACAUUUAUUUCAAAGUUUUAACAAUUAACAUUCCCAAACUUUUUCCUGCCACUUUUGGAAUAUGCAUUUAGGGCUGAAAAAAGUGUAACUCAAGCCUAAGUGAUUUCUCUCCUCAAAAACUUAUUCUUCAGUAAGUUUCUCCUCCUUCAGAAACAUGACAGACACGGGACAGGGUGACAUCAUCCUGGAUGACCCUGUGAGCCACACCACAGGCCUGAAGAUGCUUAACCUUCAUGUACUUCCAUAACAUAGGAGAAAACCGCAUCAAUACAAGACUGUUUGCUCAAGGCAGUUAAACUAAAUAUUUAAGUCAAUGGGGAAACCUCAAUAAAAUUGCUGCUGUGUACCCAUAUUGCAGAGUUUUAUCUAGUCCUGAACAAGUGUUUUUAUCUGCAGUGUCUUCACUAGUAUCCACUUUCAGUCUACACAAUCUUAACAUGAUACGUGCAUUUUCUAACUAAGGGAUCUGGUUAGGAAAACGUCCAGGAAAAUAAUUAGCCUUCAAAGCAUGUAGCGUUACACAGGGAAGAUGUAUUCAUUGUCUUACCCCUUCUCUGAACAUUUAGGUGCCCAGUGGUAAAAAGACAGUUUUAAC